GAUAGCUAUCUUGUGGUGGCCACGCCUUCAUAGUGAGUUGCUUUUCAAUCCUUUGAUGUCAGAUCUUAAUUUUGAAGCAGAAAUCAUGAAACACUGGAUUGUUCCCCACUAAUACAGGAUCUGAGUUGGAUUAAGACACGUGACAUGUU
This is a non-coding RNA of Pelobates cultripes (western spadefoot toad), 149 nucleotides long. NCBI's taxonomy places the organism in Eukaryota, Metazoa, Chordata, Amphibia, Anura, Pelobatidae. The record is from the annotation of a GenBank genome assembly.